GGUCACAUGACGUCUGCCCGCUAGACAUGUACACCUUACAAUCAUUCCAUACAACAAAUAUAGUAGACCAAUUGCAAAUAGUAUGAGAACAACAGACCAAAACACAAAAACUUAACUAUAACCACUGAACCAUGAAAAUGAGGUCAAGGUCAGAUGACACCUGCCAGUUGGACAUGUACACCUUACAGUCCUUCCAUACACCGAAUAUACUAGCCCUAUUGCUUAUAGUAUCUGAGAUAUGGACUUGACCACCAAAACUUAACCUUGUUCACUGAUCCAUGAAAUGAGGUCGAGGUCAAGUGAAAACUGUCUGACAGACAUUAGGACCUUGCAAGGUACGCACAUAUCAAAUAUAGUUAUCCUAUUACUUAUAAUAAGAGAGAAUUCAACAUUACAAAAAAUUUGAAAUUUUUUUUCAAGUGUUCACUGAACCAUGAAAAUGAGGUCAAGGACAUUGGACAUGUGACUGACGGAAACUUCGUAACAUGAGGCAUCUAUAUACAAAGUAUGAAGCAUCCAGGUCUUCCACCUUCUAAAAUAUAAAGCUUUUAAGAAGUUAGCUAACGCCGCCGCCGUAGCCGCCGCCGCCGGAUCACUAUCCCUAUGUCGAGCUUUCUGCAACAAAAGUUGCAGGCUCGACAACAAUUCCACAAUAAGUGGUGCACAGUUAGUCUCCAUUGGAAUUGACGAUAUACAGAAUCUCCAAAGCGAACAAAAAUUUUAUCAAGUAAAAAUUCAAGCGUAGAUAUAGUAUCAAAGCGUGUCCAAUUGACAUAGUUCUUUUGUUUGUUGCUACUUAAAAAUUUGUAAGGGUUCUGCGGAACCCAGUGUCUCGCCUACUUUUGCUGUAAAUUGCAGGAUCAACAAAAAUGAGCGAAAAAAUCAAUAAAAAUAUUCUGCUUGAUACCAUGUUUGGAUUGAAGGAAGCUUCUGUCUAAGUUUGGUAAAAAAUCCUGGAUAGUUUAUGAAUC
RNAcentral lists this long non-coding RNA (971 nucleotides) under Mytilus galloprovincialis (Mediterranean mussel). Lineage: Eukaryota; Metazoa; Mollusca; Bivalvia; Mytilida; Mytilidae. The record is from RNAcentral.